AUGAUAGCAUUCAGGGAUGUGUUGGAAGUUUGUAGUUUAGUAGACUUGGGAUUUUUGGGGGUUCCUUUCACCUAUGACAAUAAAAGAAGUGGCUCGAGCAAUGUUAGGGUGAGGCUGGAUAGGGCCGUUGCAACAAAUGAUUGGAGGAAUAUAUUCCCCUUUGCCUCUGUACAACAUAUUCUAAGUCCUUGUUCGGAUCAUGUGGAUGUACUUCUCAAGGGCGAGGCGGAUUCUGGACCGGUUGGGCCGAAACAUCGCCGAUAUGAGAUCUUCUGGGAGCGGGACUCCACGCUGCCGGAGGUCGUCAAGAACGCGUGGGAAUCUGUUGGCAAUGUCCAAAAUUUGGAGCAGUUGCGAGAGGCGCUAACCAAGACAAUGGUGUCGUUGGGUUCUUGGUCCAGGAAGUUCGGGAAUGUUACAAAGGAGUUAGCUAAGUCCCGUUCACAGUUAGAAGAGCUCAUGCAUAUGAAUGCGGAUCGACAAGAAAUAAGGAAAGUGACAGACAGGAUGAAUGAUCUUUUGUACCAAGAGGAGAUGAUUUGGCUUCAAAGAUCGAGAAUUUCAUGGCUUAAGGAGGGGGACCGCAACACAAAGUUUUUUCAUAGUAAGGUAGUGUGGAGGGCUCGUAGAAACAAAAUCAGGCAGUUAACGGAUAGUAUUGGAGUGGUCCAUUCAGAUUUGGUGUCUAUGGGUAAGCUAGUGAAUGAGUAUUUUCGGGAUGUCUUCACUGCGGAUGUUAACCUUGAUGCAGGCCAUGUGGUUGAUCUCUUUGAAGUACUUUGUCACGGAGGAGGACAAUAUUAA
This 804-nucleotide ribosomal RNA is filed under the name Triticum aestivum (bread wheat). Its description in RNAcentral is "partial small subunit ribosomal RNA". The record is from RNAcentral. Lineage: Eukaryota; Viridiplantae; Streptophyta; Magnoliopsida; Poales; Poaceae.